This 367-nucleotide unclassified non-coding RNA is filed under the name uncultured fungus. Its description in RNAcentral is "sequence contains ITS1". The stretch from base 1 to 101 matches the Rfam family "5.8S ribosomal RNA", at positions 50 to 154 of the family's 154-position model. The record is from RNAcentral. Lineage: Eukaryota; Fungi.
GAAGUGCGAGAAGUGUCAUGACUUGCAGAUUCCCGAGAGCUGACAAGUUUCUGAAUGCAAAUGGCGGCCGCUUCAAAUCGGCCAUGUAUUGCAGAGUGUUGUUGUUCCUACUCUUCAUCCCUUCGAAUCCAUUUUCAUUUCCUCGAUGAUGGAUUCGAUAUAUAUGGGAAUCUGCACUUGCGAGAAGAACAACAUUCGCGCGAGUGUGAAAUCAGGAGUACUAGAGAACAGAUACAUCCGUGUGUGUUCUCUAGUAACUUCGAAAAAACAAGGAGAGAGAUCCUCUCUCUUUUGUUCAAUAAGAAGUUCCAGACUCCAUAUAUUUAGACAGCCACCUCUGCAAUGCAGGAGAACCCGCUGAACUUAA